CGCGACUUGACGAAACCGAGCGAGAUUGGGAACGUGUAUUUUUCUAACGGUCACGCAGGUGUCUCAAGUCAAGCAGGCUAUUUUGAAGAGGUAUUUAGAAUCCAGAAACAUGAUCAGGGCCGUUAUUCUGUACCCGACAACCCUGAGCCGAACCUGGGAGGCCCUUCCAGAGUCCCAAGCCACAUCUAAGCAGGCUUUCUCCAUCGUGUGUCCGUCCACCAGGACUUGAUUCUGGGAGAAAAUGCCAAUGGAUCCCGGGCCUACCAGUGUGUCGACUGCCCUUCUACUGCCUGGCUGAGUUCUAGGCCCACCUCCUGGUCAGCUGGAAGCAGCGUACAUACUGUAACCGACUGUACAGUGACAUGACCUGGCUGUGCUCUUCUCCACCUCCUCUAUCGGGUUCAGAGCAGCUAUCCUCACCGUCCUCAGUCCAGGAUGACAAGCAGGACCAGGAGGGUGACAGAGACCAUCCUCUUAAUCCCAUUCUUGGGGACCUUGAGGCACAACUGAGGUCAAAACGAAGGGGAUCACUGAUCACCUUCAGGUCGACUUCAUCAGUUAUGUCUCCAGUGUGAUGUCUAUUGAGGCCUCAGGCUACCAGGACUCACAUGGAUCUGAGGGUGUACAGUGUGCCUUGUGUCAGCUGUCCUUCCCCAGUCUCCCCUACCUCCAGGCCCACCUGCUAGAAAGCUGGGAACACAGGCAGGCCUGCAGCAUCUUAUACAGCCAGAUGAUCAGCUGUUGACCUUCACCUCCAUCGGGAUGGAAGGAUCCAUUCUCACCGUCCUCAGUCCAGGCUGACCGGCAGGACCAGGAGUUUGAUACGACCAACAGUCUUUACCCCGCUGUCAGGGACCUUGAGGCAAAACUGGGGCAGAGGAGAGAUGGUUAUACUGAUCACUUCCAAUCCAGCAUUGUUCACUCUGUCUCCAGUCAAGUUUGUUUUUGUAUGUAAAGGGAGGAAAGGGGAGAAUUGAGCAGAAGACACAUUUCUGUUUGUUUUGUAUUGUAUUAUCUUUUUGUUAAAUAAUAAAGCACAAUGUGGUGUGGUAUAUAGCCAAUAUACCACAGCAAAUAAUUUUUAGUCGGUACCAUGCAUCACAGUGCCUGGACACAGCUCUUAGCCAUGAUAUAUUGGCAACAUAACAUAAACCCCCAAGAUUCCUUAUUGUAUUGCUGAUGUAUUGAUUAAUUAUACCAUUGUAUAAUAGUGAAAUAUCACUAGCUACCUACUGUGUUGAUAGUAAAGUACUGAGGUCAUGGAUUUAGACAGUGCAAAAUGCAAGAUGUGCUAAUACAGAGCUAAAUUAAUCAAAGGAACAAGCCUAGGCUGAUUGAGACUAUAGUCAUGCUCAAAGGUCAGUUAUUUUGUGAGAUGUUGUCCCACCUUGUUCAUACAAAAGUGUUUCUGAACUGUAUGACCGACAGACUGUCACUGAUCUUGUGUUAGUGUCUUUCUGUCUCUAUUUGCAAAUAUUAAUAAACAGUAUUUGUGUUAAAGAGUAUUUUGAUCUCUGCCUUAUCUAGAAGGAGUUCUAAUCGAUGGAAUUGCCAUCACAGAAGAUAAAUCUUUUUUUGAACCAAGUGUUUCUUUUUUUGUUCUACUUUGUUGUGAAGUUUGGUUUUUCAUUUGGAAUUUAAGCAUGACUUAUGUAUGCAGGAUUGGGCACACUUCCAUUUAAAUUCAAACAGUGAAGUAAAAAAAUAGUGUUUCUACUUGAAUUUAUUCUCUUAGGAAGCACUAGAGAAAAUGAAAAUGAUAUUCGAAUUUGUUUUUGGUUACUGAAUUGACUGAAAGACAUAGGAAUUGACCCCAAGCUUAUAGCUACUAUAUUUACUAUUUGCUACUCUUUAUAAAUUGUGACCAUAUGUAAACUAAAGAGUUCCAAAUAAAGUAAUUCAUAU
This is a long non-coding RNA of Esox lucius (northern pike), 1905 nucleotides long. The record is from Ensembl. NCBI's taxonomy places the organism in Eukaryota, Metazoa, Chordata, Actinopteri, Esociformes, Esocidae.